CCAGAAUUAGUGAGGUUUAGUUUAAACCUGUUGAAGUGAUUAGUCUUAAACAGACUAAUGAUAAUGACAACUCAUCCAUUCAUAUAACAGCUUUGAUAAUGCUGUGAGACUUUGUGAUAUUCACCGCUAUAACUAAAUUCAGAAAGAAACCUCAGAGCCACAGGCUGUACUGCACGGAGCUUUGAGAACCAGGAGUAUGCACGGUCCAGCAUGGCCAUUUCCUGGGUGUGUCAGAGAGCACCGAGUGGAAAUUCAACAGCAGUCGUGCGUCCCCCACUCCUCGAUGUGUGUGUGUGUGUGUGUGUGUGUGUGUGCAUUAUUCCAUUUUUGUUCCACAAACAUCUGAGAAACAUCUUCAGUUUACGUCUCAGUUGUUGAAUGUUUUUAUGUUCAUACCAAUAUUUACACAUGUUUAGAAAUUUGCUGGAAAUAAAAGCAGUUGAAUGUGAGAGGACCUUUCUUUUUUUGCUGGGUUUAUAUUAUUAUUCUAUAUUAUAAAAUUAAAUAGUUUGGCAAAUGAUUGUCCCUUUUGAGUAAAUAAAUUCAUGUUGUGAACAUCAGCGAUGUUUCCUAAUAUCUUAUUCACUGUAGAAAUGCAGAAUGUAAUGUCUAAUGAUGUGAAUAAGGGGAGACUGGCACAUUUUCUUAACUUCGAGCUCUGCAUUCCAUCAUCUACUCAUCACAAAACUCUUAAACAUCUGAACUUUCUGCAUCAUGCUAUUUUAUUUGAAACUUUUGGCACAAAAUUAACUUCAUAGUGCAGAGUAUUAACGAUCUUCUAGUGCACACACACACACACAUGCACAUGCACACAGGUACUGAUCACAGGUGUGUAGUGUUCACUCGGUGUUAAUGUUAAUGAUGUGAGUGUGUGUUAGAGUAUCAAAGUGAGUGUGUGUUAGUAUUUUAAAGUGAGUGUGUGUUAGUAUUUUAAAGUGAGUGUGUGUCAGAGUAUCAAGUGAGUGUGCGUUAGAGUAUCGAAGUGAGUGUGCGUUAGAAGUAUCGAAGUGAGUGUGCGUUAGAGUAUCGAAGUGAGUGUGCGUUAGAGUAUCGAAGUGAGUGUGUGUUAGU
Molecule: long non-coding RNA, 1071 nt
Organism: Ictalurus punctatus (channel catfish)
Lineage: Eukaryota; Metazoa; Chordata; Actinopteri; Siluriformes; Ictaluridae
Source: Ensembl